UCUCCGUUGGUGAACCAGCGGAGGGAUCAUUACCGAGUUCCAGCAACUCCCAACCCUUGCGAACCGUACCCCAGUCUGUUCUCGUUGCUUCCGGCAGGCGGGGGGGGCCACCUGGCCCCUCCCCCUGCCGGGGGCGGCGGGCCCUCUGAACCUUUAUAGCUCAACCACUGAAACCCGUCUGAGCAAAACAAAAAAUAAUCAAAACUUUCAACAACGGAUCUCUUGGCUCUG
This 231-nucleotide unclassified non-coding RNA is filed under the name plant metagenome. RNAcentral describes it as "partial contains small subunit ribosomal RNA, internal transcribed spacer 1, and 5.8S ribosomal RNA". The record is from RNAcentral.